GUGGGGAGCAAACAGGAUUAGAUACCCUGGUAGUCCACGCCGUAAACGAUGUCGACUUGGAGGUUGUGCCCUUGAGGCGUGGCUUCCGGAGCUAACGCGUUAAGUCGACCGCCUGGGGAGUACGGCCGCAAGGUUAAAACUCAAAUGAAUUGACGGGGGCCCGCACAAGCGGUGGAGCAUGUGGUUUAAUUCGAUGCAACGCGAAGAACCUUACCUGGCCUUGACAUCCAGAGAACUUAGCAGAGAUGCUUUGGUGCCUUCGGGAACUCUGAGACAGGUGCUGCAUGGCUGUCGUCAGCUCGUGUUGUGAAAUGUUGGGUUAAGUCCCGCAACGAGCGCAACCCUUAUCCUUUGUUGCCAGCGGUUCGGCCGGGAACUCAAAGGAGACUGCCGGUGAUAAACCGGAGGAAGGUGGGGAUGACGUCAAGUCAUCAUGGCCCUUACGGCCAGGGCUACACACGUGCUACAAUGGCGCAUACAAAGAGAAGCGACCUCGCGAGAGCAAGCGGACCUCAUAAAGUGCGUCGUAGUCCGGAUUGGAGUCUGCAACUCGACUCCAUGAAGUCGGAAUCGCUAGUAAUCGUAGAUCAGAAUGCUACGGUGAAUACGUUCCCGGGCCUUGUACACACCGCCCGUCACACCAUGGGAGUGGGUUGCAAAAGAAGUAGGUAGCUUAACCUUCGGGA
RNAcentral lists this ribosomal RNA (686 nucleotides) under Pantoea sp. RNAcentral describes it as "bacterial SSU rRNA". It matches the Rfam family "Bacterial small subunit ribosomal RNA", at positions 761 to 1447 of the family's 1533-position model. The record is from RNAcentral. Lineage: Bacteria; Pseudomonadati; Pseudomonadota; Gammaproteobacteria; Enterobacterales; Erwiniaceae.